ACGUCACGAUUAAUGAGGCGUUCAUCCUGAGCGGAUCAGGUACUGAACGGGGAGUAUUCCAUCGCCGUGCUGAGCACGUCGCGAACUCCUGCAAAAACUCAACACUACCUCGCCUUGCUACACAUUAAUCUGACG
RNAcentral lists this small RNA (135 nucleotides) under Xenorhabdus innexi. RNAcentral describes it as "EFASI RNA". It matches the Rfam family "EFASI RNA". Lineage: Bacteria; Pseudomonadati; Pseudomonadota; Gammaproteobacteria; Enterobacterales; Morganellaceae. The record is from Rfam by way of RNAcentral.